This is a long non-coding RNA of Panicum virgatum (switchgrass), 1296 nucleotides long. RefSeq lists it as uncharacterized. The transcript is spliced from 3 exons. The record is from RefSeq and is a predicted model, not a curated record. NCBI's taxonomy places the organism in Eukaryota, Viridiplantae, Streptophyta, Magnoliopsida, Poales, Poaceae.
ACCUCUCGCGGCUUACCCCCUCCGCCCCCUACUCGUGUUCUUCCUUCUCCAUUUUUCUCGCGCCGGGCUUAGAUGGCGGCGGCGGCGGCGGCGCAGGGAACCUCCUGUCAAUGUAGAGGAAGGGGAAGAAGGGGCACAGCAGGGUGGAAUCGUGCUAUCCAGCAAAUGAUCUGUGCAUUACUUUAAGCUUCACGAGCAAAGCUGUUUGCUGCUCCAUGCAUUGUUAUCUGGCUGAGCCUGGAACAUCAAGCAGAGGCACCAGACAACAAUCACGAGUCAGGUGAGUUUAAUUUAGUUAUAAUCUGUCUUCGUGGAUCAAACAUAAUGCGAGGUAAAUUGGCAUAAUGCUUGGAUGAAUUUAGCUUUUUGUCAAACACGAUUUAUCAAUGGCUAGUAAUUGGCAUAUUUAACAACGACAAGUCAGUAGCUUUUAUAUCAAUAUGCUUUACCUACAAACUUCCCUAUCAUGAGCUAUUGUAUAUACAUUGUUGUUCACUGAGAAUUGGCCAAAACACUUCGUCAGAAUUUAUCCUUACUUGUUUGCUCAUAUUAUAUUUAGGAUAUUUCAACAAUGUGCAAGCUACUGAAUUCAUAAUCAAAUAAGGGUGGUUGCAUACUGGUGACCUUGGAUACUUUGAUGAAAGAGGCCAAUGAAUCAUGCCUGAUGGCCCUUUCCGAUUAAUGAACGCUGCAGCAGACAGUAGAGGCAGUUUAGUUUGUUCGAAAUUAUUUGAUUUCUUGGGGCCUAGCUGUGAUGUGUUAGUUAUUCUUAUAUUUUGGAAUGAACCUUGAAUUGACUCAUAUGGUGUACUCCUUCAGGUCAGUUCUGUGAGUAUGUGUUGUUAUGUUUGAUGAAAACACAGUUUGAAAAAAUAAUUUAUUUGCGAUAAUGAAAUAGAGCCUGCUCUCUUAUCAUUAUAACUGCUGUGUUGGCUAUUGAAAUUGCAGUCUACAUAUGGCUUCCAAAGUUCUGACUACACAAUGCAAAAAUUCUCUUACUGCAUAUCAUGGCUUCCUGCUUCUUACUCGAUACGUGUAGGGAAUUUAAACAGAUCUGCGCCUGCAAACAUGGCUUCCUGAUUCUGCCUGUCAUGUGGCCGCUACUGGAGUGUUGGAGAUGCUUUACUGGACUGUUUGGAAUGUUGUACUUGUUAGUACUUACUGAAGUUUAUAUGUGUGGAAGUGGUACUUGUGAAAUUUGAUCUUGCGUGUUUUGCUUAAAAAAUGAUAUGAAUCUUUGAUUUUAGUUGAGUAUCUCUCUUCUGAAGACGUGUUGUAAAGUCUGAAGUUGUGCCA